AAACAGCCCCCUAUGUUUUGAUUCUUUGGCAGUUUUGGACCCCAAGACAAAAAAAAAUUAAAAAAUUGACACGUGGCACCUCACUUAGGGUGCCACGUCAGCGUUGACCGAGUCAACAAUGGACUAGGGGUCCAAAACUGCCAAAGAAUCAAAACAUAGGGGGCUGUUU
This is a microRNA precursor of Medicago truncatula (barrel medic), 169 nucleotides long. It matches the Rfam family "MIR2619 microRNA precursor family". The record is from Rfam. NCBI's taxonomy places the organism in Eukaryota, Viridiplantae, Streptophyta, Magnoliopsida, Fabales, Fabaceae.